UUGCACGCUGGCGGCAGGCCUAACACAUGCAAGUCGCGCGGAUGAAGGGAGCUUGCUCCUGGAUUCAGCGGCGGACGGGUGAGUAAUGCCUAGGAAUCUGCCUGGUAGUGGGGGAUAACGUCCGGAAGCGGGCGCUAAUACCGCAUACGUCCUGAGGGAGAAAGUGGGGGAUCUUCGGACCUCACGCUAUCAGAUGAGCCUAGGUCGGAUUAGCUAGUUGGUGGGGUAAAGGCCUACCAAGGCGACGAUCCGUAACUGGUCUGAGAGGAUGAUCAGUCACACUGGAACUGAGACACGGUCCAGACUCCUACGGGAGGCAGCAGUGGGGAAUAUUGGACAAUGGGCGAAAGCCUGAUCCAGCCAUGCCGCGUGUGUGAAGAAGGUCUUCGGAUUGUAAAGCACUUUAAGUUGGGAGGAAGGGCAGUAAGUUAAUACCUUGCUGUUUUGACGUUACCAACAGAAUAAGCACCGGCUAACUUCGUG
Molecule: ribosomal RNA, 483 nt
Filed under: uncultured bacterium
Lineage: Bacteria
Description: partial 16S ribosomal RNA
Rfam family: Bacterial small subunit ribosomal RNA
Source: RNAcentral